This 373-nucleotide ribosomal RNA is filed under the name uncultured organism. RNAcentral's name for it is "partial 16S ribosomal RNA". It matches the Rfam family "Bacterial small subunit ribosomal RNA", at positions 527 to 896 of the family's 1533-position model. The record is from RNAcentral.
GUAGGUGGCAAGCGUUGUCCGGAAUUAUUGGGCGUAAAGCGCGCGCAGGCGGGUUUUUAAGUCUGAUGUGAAAGCCCACGGGCUCAACCGUGGAGGGUCAUUGGAAACUGGAGAACUUGAGUACAGAAGAGGAAAGCGGAAUUCCACGUGUAGCGGUGAAAUGCGUAGAGAUGUGGAGGAACACCAGUGGCGAAGGCGGCUUUCUGGUCUGUAACUGACGCUGAGGCGCGAAAGCGUGGGGAGCAAACAGGAUUAGAUACCCUGGUAGUCCACGCCGUAAACGAUGAGUGCUAAGUGUUAGGGGGUUUCCGCCCCUUAGUGCUGCAGCUAACGCAUUAAGCGCUCCGCCUGGGGAGUACGGCCGCAAAGGCUG